This 233-nucleotide ribosomal RNA is filed under the name uncultured bacterium. RNAcentral's name for it is "partial 16S ribosomal RNA". It matches the Rfam family "Bacterial small subunit ribosomal RNA", at positions 545 to 776 of the family's 1533-position model. The record is from RNAcentral.
UCGGAAUUACUGGGCGUAAAGGGCUCGUAGGCGGCCAACUAAGUCAGACGUGAAAUCCCUCGGCUUAACCGGGGAACUGCGUCUGAUACUGGAUGGCUUGAAUCCGGGAGAGGGAUGCGGAAUUCCAGGUGUAGCGGUGAAAUGCGUAGAUAUCUGGAGGAACACCGGUGGCGAAGGCGACAUCCUGGACCGGUAUUGACGCUGAGUGAGCGAAAGCAAGGGGAGCAAACGGG